UACGAAGGGUGCAAGCGUUACUCGGAAUUACUGGGCGUAAAGCGUGCGUAGGUGGUGAGUUAAGUCUGUCGUGAAAGCCCCGGGCUCAACCUGGGAAUGGCGAUGGAUACUGGCUCGCUAGAGUGCGGUAGAGGAGACUGGAAUUCCUGGUGUAGCGGUGAAAUGCGCAGAUAUCAGGAGGAACACCAAUGGCGAAGGCAGCUCGCUGGAACGGUACUGACGCUGAGGCGCGAAAGCGUGGGGAGCAAACAGG
RNAcentral lists this ribosomal RNA (253 nucleotides) under uncultured bacterium. RNAcentral's name for it is "partial 16S ribosomal RNA". It matches the Rfam family "Bacterial small subunit ribosomal RNA", at positions 524 to 776 of the family's 1533-position model. The record is from RNAcentral.